UGGAAACAGUUUGGGGGCGACCCGUGACUGUUCCAAAAUGACCCACCCAAAUUGCAGGAGGGGGCCGUCUGCUUUCCCUGGGGCUGUCUUGCUGAUCCACUGAGGAGAAUGAAUCUGAACCUCUCUAUCCUGAAGCCUUGAGUUGAAAUGCCUGUCCGGGAAAUUCCGGCCUCAGAUGUCCCUCUGUUCUCUGACCAGGGAUUGAGCCCGGGGCCACAGCGGUGAGAGCUCAGAAUCCUAACCUCCAGGCCACCAGGGAACUCCUCCGCACUGCUGAAGGUGUGAACAUGAUGAAUCAGCGCACGGACAUGAUGAAAGGUACAUUCAUGAAACUAAGUGGUGAUAUCAGGAGAAUGUCAUCUGGGCCAGCUCUGGAGCCUUCUUUUGAAGCAAGUCCGCUCCCCAGGGCUAUAGGAAAACGCGAGCAAGCAGACAGGCCUGGAUGUCUGUCGAUGAUUAAUUAAAGGAGAGAGAAGACACAUCCGAUGCAUUCCUAUUAUAGAACAACAAUUGAAAUAAAUGCAUAGGUUUAUCCACCUUUGAUAUUUUCUUAUGAGAAGACAUCAAGAUUUUCUUCCACCAUUGUAACGAUCCCGUAAACAACAUAAAAUUCAGAUGCUAUUGUGCUGUCAGAUCAUACAAAAUUGCUAUUUUAGGUAUAAAUAGAUUUAAAAAAAACUGAAAAGUCAUCUGAGAAAUUAGAACAGGUGAUAGAAAUGUAUUAUAGGCAAUCUAUUAAGACUUAUGCUUUCAAAGUGUCAUCUUUACAGUUUUACAAAGCAUCCUCUGGGUUUCUGCGAAACUUACUGAAACCACAAUAAUGGAACAUCCCAGGGGUCUGUGGUACUUAGGUAAAGAGAAAGACCACAAAGGUAAUUCUUCCAGGCUGUAACUCAGCAUGCUACAACCCCUUGCUAGGUGGGUAACUUUGUAACUCACAGGGUUCUUAGAACACUGUAGGAUUUGUUUGAUAAAAUCACUGCUUAUGAAUAAGAUGUAAAGGAAGUACAAUAGGGAUGAAGAAUAUAUUUUUCAGUUUUUUGGAAGCAGUGCUAAUGUUUUGGGAAACCAUGAGCAUUGUGGAGUACCUACCAUUGCACAAUAAAUGGAAAUAUAAUGGCUUUCAUCCCUAUUACUUGGAUUUUUAUGUACAGCUUUGAAAAAUGUAAUAAAAUUACAUCAAACUUUUACUUGGAACACUUUUUUUUCAACCUUUGAAUGACUUUUGUUGAAAAUUUCCCAAUGAGAAUCAAAAUAAAAAUCAAACUUUUAAACUUCUAACU
Molecule: long non-coding RNA, 1283 nt
Organism: Cervus elaphus (red deer)
Lineage: Eukaryota; Metazoa; Chordata; Mammalia; Artiodactyla; Cervidae
Exons: 3
Source: RefSeq, a predicted model, not a curated record